Molecule: ribosomal RNA, 271 nt
Filed under: uncultured bacterium
Lineage: Bacteria
Description: partial small subunit ribosomal RNA
Rfam family: Bacterial small subunit ribosomal RNA
Source: RNAcentral
AGAAUCAACGCUGGCGGCGUGCCUAACACAUGCAAGUCGAACGCGAAAGUCCCGCAAGGGAUGAGUAGAGUGGCAAACGGGUGAGUAACACGUGGGUGACCUGCCCUCGAGCGGGGGAUAACGUCCGAAAGGGACGCUAAUACCGCAUGACAUCCUGCCUUUGAACAGGCGGAGAUCAAAGCUGGGGAUCGCAAGACCUAGCACUCGAAGAGGGGCCCGCGCCUGAUUAGCUAGUUGGUGAGGUAACGGCUCACCAAGGCGACGAUCAGUA